This 301-nucleotide ribosomal RNA is filed under the name uncultured bacterium. Its description in RNAcentral is "partial 16S ribosomal RNA". It matches the Rfam family "Bacterial small subunit ribosomal RNA", at positions 509 to 807 of the family's 1533-position model. The record is from RNAcentral.
CAGUCGCCGCGGUAAUGCGUAGGGUGCGAGCGUUAAUCGGAAUUACUGGGCGUAAAGCGUGCGCAGGCGGUUGUGUAAGACAGGUGUGAAAUCCCCGGGCUUAACCUGGGAACUGCGCUUGUGACUGCACAGCUAGAGUAUGGCAGAGGGGGGUGGAAUUCCACGUGUAGCAGUGAAAUGCGUAGAGAUGUGGAGGAACACCGAUGGCGAAGGCAGCCCCCUGGGCCAAUACUGACGCUCAUGCACGAAAGCGUGGGGAGCAAACAGGAUUAGAUACCCGCGUAGUCCCUGUCUCUUAUAC